ACGGCUCAGUAACACGUCGAUAACCUUCCCUACGGUCAGGCAUAAUCUCGGGAAACUGAGUGUAAUACCUGAUAGGGGAUGGGCACUGGAAUGUCCCAUCCCUGAAACUCGUGCCGUAGGAUGGGUCGGCGGCGGAUUAGGCAGUUGGUGGGGUAACGGCCCACCAAACCUUUGAUCCGUACGGGCCAUGAGAGUGGUAGCCCGGAGAGGGACACUGGAAUACUGGUCCCAGCCCUACGGGGUGCAGCAGGCGCGAAACCUCCACAAUGCACGAAAGUGUGAUGGGGGAUCCUACGUGCUCAUGUCUGACAUGGGCUUUUGCCAAGGCCAGAGACCUUGGCGAAUAAGGGGUGGGCAAGACCGGUGCCAGCCGCCGCGGUAACACCGGCGCCCCGAGUGGCAAUCGCGAUUAUUGGGCCUAAAGCGUCCGUAGCCGGACAGGUAAAUCUUCUGUGAAAUCGUUGCGCUUAACGUAACGGCGCGCAGGGGACACUGCCUGUCUCGAGACCGGGAGGAGUCAGAGGUAUGCCGUGGGGACUGGUAAAAUGGUAUAAUCCACGGUAGACCACCAAUGGCGAAGGCAUCUGACCAGAACGGAUCUGACGGUGAGGGACGAAAGCCAGGGGAGCGAACCGGAUUAGAUACCCGAGUAGUCCUGGCCGUAAACGCUGUGAGCUAGGUGUUGCCUAUCCCAUGAGGAUGGGCAGUGUCGAAAUGAAGAUGCUAAGCUCACCGCCUGGGAAGUACGGUCGCAAGACUGGAACUUUAAGGAAUUGGCGGGGGAGCAC
This 788-nucleotide ribosomal RNA is filed under the name uncultured archaeon. RNAcentral's name for it is "bacterial SSU rRNA". It matches the Rfam family "Archaeal small subunit ribosomal RNA", at positions 85 to 879 of the family's 1478-position model. The record is from RNAcentral.